RNAcentral lists this long non-coding RNA (1419 nucleotides) under Fukomys damarensis (Damara mole-rat). Its description in RNAcentral is "lncRNA (ENSFDAG00000028525.1)". The record is from RNAcentral. Lineage: Eukaryota; Metazoa; Chordata; Mammalia; Rodentia; Bathyergidae.
AUUGGACAAAUUGUAAAGGAUGUCAAAGCGUAUCAAGAUGUGCACUGGAGGUGUUUCCCUGUGGAACAAGAAAAACUGCCUCGGGUUUCAUCUCUUUUUAUUAUUCUCAACUCUCUUCUCACCAUUGUGGAGUGCAAGAGUGAGAAAGCUGAGACCAAGGAAGGUGCAGUAACACAAACUCUGGGUCCUAAAAGCCUGCAUGGAAGAUUUCAGCGCUCUUGUGAGGCGUUCUCCGUGAGGCUGCGCCACACUUCAGCUCAGAGAUGGCUCUGUGGUCAUGGAGCUGGCCUCGUAGGGAUUCCUCACCAGCUUGGCGCACCGAAAAAUCAUCACUACGAGGAAGAGAAACAGGAGCACAAGAAAGACGAUGGCAAAGCCUUGGUCCACGUCCACACUGCUGGACAGGCUCGCCUCUCCCAUGGGGACAGGCACUGCUCCACGGCUGUCCAGCUGCAGCUACCUCUCCAGGUGUGUCUUCAGAUUGGUCAUAAUCCUAGGCAAAAGAAGAGAAAACAAGUUUGUGUGUGUGUGUGUGUGUGUGUGUGUGUGUGUGUGUGUGUGUGUCUGCAUUUCCUCCUAACACUGUGGAAACCAAAUAAGGGCCAAGGUUUGGAAAAAAAAAAUCAUCAAGAUUCAUGUAAGAAGCACUUCAGAAACCAAGAAAGCUAAUACAGAUGACUAAAAAGACCUGCGCGUACAUAAAAGCAUAAGUCAUCUGAGGACUUCCUCCAAGGCAAAACACAAGGGCCGCGGUUGUGAGGCCCCCCCCAGAGGUCUGUAUACAAAGGUUUGGUCCCCAGAGUAGUAGUGUUUGGAGGUGCCAUGGCGGUGAGGCCUCAUGGGAGCCACACUCUUGAAAGGGAUUAUGCGUCUCUAUCUCCUCUUCCUCCAUUUCCUGGCUUGAGCUGUGAGCACCCGUCUGGUAAAUGCUGCCUUCAGCAGAGGCCCAAAUGAACAGGGCCGCCCAGUCCGGACUUGAACUUCGGAACUAUGAGCCUCUCUUUACUCCAUCGAUAGCCUGUGUCUGGUCUUUCGCUAUACAGUGAUGCAAAGCCAACCCAUACAGUGAGUAAGUGUAUGUAACCCAGAAAUCAGCUGGUGCAGCUUUUCCUUGCCAGAUGCAGGUAAAACUAUCUUGAACAUCUCAUAUCUGCACGAAGUCCAAAUCCCUCUAAGAUUUUUUCAAAUUCCCAUUCCCCCACUCCCCACUCUGGAUCAUUAUGUUUGACUGUGUUGUUAUUCUCAAAAUGAAAAAUCAGGUAUAUCCCAGAAGGGAUCAAUUUCAGUUUUUAAAAUUUAGUUCACCCAACAAUUCUGGAAAAUAAUAAAGUAAUGAGACACACUUUCCAACUUCAAGACUCAUUACAAAGCUACAGAGAUCAAAACAGUAUGAUACUGGAGUAAAGCAACAUCCCCCCU